GAUUGGAUGGUGUUGUACCGUUUUCCGUUACUUUUCUGAAAUUGGUGUGUAAAAAAUGGUUGGUUAGCGAGUGAGUUUAGUCAUUAAACAGCUUUCGCACCGUCCAAUAAUGAUUCACAUGACAACGCGUCUUUACAUAACCGAGGGACACGCGUCGUCUCUUUAUUGGUUACUAGGUGUCUCGUUUCCUGAGUAGGGGGGAUUAUUAUAAUUACUCAGUGCACGCCAGAAUCCCCCUCCCCCCUCCUCCCUUUUCUUUAUAUUUAAUUUUUAAUUUGUGUGGAUUGGAGAUAGUGGAGUUGCUUGGUUUUGAAGUUUGUUUUUUUUUUUAAUUGUUUAAGUGCAUCAAGAUUAUGUAUGCACGUGACCAUGUUUUGUAAUUUCCCUAAUGCCCAAUUGAGAAUUACAAUGAAAAUAAAAUUAUAUUUAUGAAAGACAUACAAUAUAAAAUAAUUAAAUAACAAAAAAUAAAACCCAUUAGGAUAAAACCAAAAAAUAAAAAAUAAAAAAAGCGAAAGAAAAUAAUAUUAAAAAAGAAAAAUUCAAGAUUAAUGCUAUAUAUGUGUGUGUGUAUCAUUAUUAUAUUUUAUAUAAAUAAUAAGGGUGACAAUUAAAUGGGAGCAAAAAGCCGGCAGGGUCGGACAUUAUUCCAUGUGUACUGCUCGAAUUUAUCGGCUAAGCCUAAAUUAUUAACAAUCAUAAUUAUUAAGAAAUUA
RNAcentral lists this long non-coding RNA (716 nucleotides) under Carica papaya (papaya). RNAcentral's name for it is "long non-coding RNA (CPAP_LNC004818)". Lineage: Eukaryota; Viridiplantae; Streptophyta; Magnoliopsida; Brassicales; Caricaceae. The record is from RNAcentral.